ACUUCAAAUACCCCCUUAUGGUUUCAUACUUUCUCACUUUAGUACCAUGUGGUUUAAAGUGUAUCAAGUUAGCCUCUGUGGUUUCGCACUUUCUCACUUUAGACUUUGUGGUUUAAAGUGUAUCAAAUUAGUACCCUUUGGUUUCAUUUUUCUCUUUUUAUUAUUCAUUUCACUAAUUUCUUUUGUUAAAUUAGUGACAAAGUUAAAAUUAAAGGAUACUAAAGUUAAUAUUGGAUAAACCUAGGUAGGAUAUCUGAAGUUUUUUGUAUAUAAUUUAACGAAAUAUUAACGGAGGAAAAAAAAUCAGUGACAAAGUUAAAAUUAAAGGAUACUAAAAUAAAUAUUCAAUAAACCUAGGUAGGAUAUCUAAAAUUUUUUUGUAUAUAAUUUAACAAAAUAUUAACAGAGGAGCCGACAAAAAGAAAAAAAUAAAACCACAGCGUACUAAAUUGAUGCACUUUAAACCACAGGGUACUAGAGUAAGAAAGUACGAAACCACAGAGUACUAAAUUGAUACAUUUUAAACCAUAGAGUACUAAAGUGAAAAAAUACGAAAUCACAAGAGUGGUAUUUGAAGUUUUCGCUUUUUU
This 590-nucleotide long non-coding RNA is filed under the name Ananas comosus (pineapple). RNAcentral describes it as "long non-coding RNA (ACOM_LNC038768)". Lineage: Eukaryota; Viridiplantae; Streptophyta; Magnoliopsida; Poales; Bromeliaceae. The record is from RNAcentral.